GAUGAACGCUGGCGGCGUGCCUAAUACAUGCAAGUCGAGCGAACAGACGAGGAGCUUGCUCCUCUGACGUUAGCGGCGGACGUGAGUAACACGUGGAUAACCUACCUAUAAGACUGGGAUAACUUCGGGAAACCGGAGCUAAUACCGGAUAAUAUAUUGAACCGCAUGGUUCAAUAGUGAAAGACGGUUUUGCUGUCACUUAUAGAUGGAUCCGCGCCGCAUUAGCUAGUUGGUAAGGUAACGGCUUACCAAGGCAACGAUGCGUAGCCGACCUGAGAGGGUGAUCGGCCACACUGGAACUGAGACACGGUCCAGACUCCUACGGGAGGCAGCAGUAGGGAAUCUUCCGCAAUGGGCGAAAGCCUGACGGAGCAACGCCGCGUGAGUGAUGAAGGUCUUCGGAUCGUAAAACUCUGUUAUUAGGGAAGAACAAAUGUGUAAGUAACUAUGCACGUCUUGACGGUACCUAAUCAGAAAGCCACGGCUAACUACGUG
RNAcentral lists this ribosomal RNA (495 nucleotides) under uncultured bacterium. RNAcentral's name for it is "partial 16S ribosomal RNA". It matches the Rfam family "Bacterial small subunit ribosomal RNA", at positions 28 to 507 of the family's 1533-position model. The record is from RNAcentral.